UUGUAUAGUUUUGAUAAGUCAUUUUUCUUAAGGAGCUGCCCCAUCCGUACGAUACGAUACGAUACACCAACCUAUUUUGUAAACUAGUUAAGGUACCAAAGUAUGGUACUCAUACCCUGACUUGUACACCACCAAACAUGGAUUUUGGCCCAAAAUAGCCGCUUGAAAAUUCAAUUUAGCAUACCAUAGAGAAUGUCUCAACCACUAUUAAUCAAGUUACCCUUUGCAUAUGAAUAAUACACCCAAAUCAUCUUAUAAAAGGGAAAAUGCUCAAUUUAUAGUACUCCCCUUCGACUUUCAAAAACAAUAGUAUCAACAACAAUUCUGCUUUGAUUCUGAGUAGGAGAAAACUAACAUAAGAACCUCAUCAGACCUUUAUACGGACCAUGAAGGAACCUGUCAUUGACAAUAAAGAAAAAAUUAGGAACUUCACAUGGAAUUUAUGUUAAUUUGUGCCACUGUGCACAUGCAUAAUCUGCUAAAUGGAAAGACAUUUACUCAAUGGAAAGCUAUCACAUUUGUAACAGGAUAUUGGUGUCAUUGGUGUUUAACUUACUCAAGAACCAGAUAAAUGGAAAGAAUUUUUCUUAGAAGGUGUUCGGUUUAAAGCAAUUCCAUCCUUCAAGAUCAAUAAUUCCAAAAAAAUAAAGUCUACAUUCCCCGUUUGGCCCCCAUUUUUUGGAAAUGAUAAUGCGUGGAAUAGUAUUUUUUUGAAAAAUGAGUGGUAGAAAAAGAAAAAAAAGUUUUCAAUUUACAUAUAAUAUUAUUUUAUAGAAGAUCAUGUGAUUAAAAACAGGUGAGAGAAAAAUAAAAUGUAAUGGAACGAAAAUUAAUGGAGACCAAAUGGGGGCUAACAAGGUUUAAGAGUUGUGCCACAGAAGUCAAAAGGUGUUGAAAAUGUGAUACAUUUGAGAAACUAAGUUAGAGCACCAAAGUCCAAGGAAGAACUGAUAUUUGAAACAAAAGCGGAUACCUGUGACUGUUCACAACAAAAAUUAUUUGUCCCCUUUCCAAGGGCUUGAGCUUUUAUUGCGAUAGUUCAAAUGGUAUCGGGAACCACGAACGUUUUAUUCCCCUUUAUGACAUAUUCCUUCCUAGGGAUUAUAAAGCAUUUAUUUGUUUUAUCACUAAGAAUGCCGUAAGAAAUUUCUGUGAGGCUUAGCAGAACUGAAGCAAAGGUCAAAAGGUGUUGAAAAUGUGAGAUAUACAUUUGAGAAACUAAGAGCGCCAAAGUCUAAGGAAGAACUGAUAUUUGAAACAAAAGCGGAUACCUGUGACUGUUCACAACAAAAAUUAUUUGUCCCCUGUCCAAGAGCUUGAGCUUUUAUUGCAAUAGUUCAAAUGGUAUCGGGAACCACAAGAGUUUUUAAUUCCCCUUUAUGACAUUUUCCUUCCUAGGGAUUAUAAAGCAUUUAUUUGUGUUAUCACUAAGAAUGCUGAAAGAAAUUUCUGUGAGACUUAGCAGAGUUGGAGCAAAAAAUUUAGUCUAGGUCCUGUUUGGUGGAGGUUAAAAUCAGAUUUUUAAUAGAUUUUGAUAAAAGUUGAUGAAAUGUGUGGUUGAAAAGUUGUGGAUCUCAUAAAAUGUGAGGUUUAAAAUUAAUUAUUGAUUUUGACUUGGAUUAAAAUCUGGAUUUUAAUUCGUACCAAACAAGAGCUAAGUUCAGUUAUCUGUAAAUACCUCUUCCCUUUCAGACUUAGCCAAGCAGGCUACCCUUUAAAAGGUCUACAUAGGAUUCUUAAAAAUCUCUAAUCGAAUCAUUGAUUUUUGGGCCACUAUCAUAUGAUUGGUUUGUCCCAUUUGUUUCCCACUUACACUCCAUGCUCGUCAUCAAAAAGUUAAGAUUGUAAAUGGCUCUUUGACUACGGUUGUUGGGAAGGGCACAACCCCUCAUCAAAAAAUGUUACUCUCACUUUCAUAGUCUUGUCCUUCCUCUUAUGGUAUCUGAAUGUGUUGCAUUUCUUCACAUUUGUAAGCACAUUAUAAGUUAGAAACUAGGUCUUUGAUGUGCGUCUUUCUAUGUUAUUCACCUACAUUACAGUUAUAUACGUUUUCGUUCCAUUGAAUUGAGUAUGAUUACCAAGAAGUUAAUUCGGGCCUUAAUGUUUACCUUGAGUGUAACCAAACAGAAUUGGGGGAAGCUAUGAUGAGUGCAACGUACUUGUUCAACUAAAUGCCUUCUAGAGUUUAAAAUUCGCUAAAACCUUCACUCUCAUGGUCUUGUCCUUCCUCCUAUGAUAUUUGAAUGUGUUGCAUUUCUUCACAUUUGUAAGCACAUUAUAAGUUAGAAACUAGGUCUUUGAGGUAUGUCUAUGCCCUUGUUUGGUACCCAUUUUUCCCAAAAUACAUUUCUCUCUCUUAUUUUCAACCAUACACUCUUUAAUAAAAUAAUAUUACACGCAAAACUAAAACUUUUCCUUAUUUUUUAAUCACACAUUUUUCAACAAUCACCAUUACAAAAUGCAUUUUUACUAUGAAAAUGAGAAAUAAACAUGCUCUAUCUAUGUUAUUUUUUGAUAGGUGUCUAUCUAUGUUAUUCACCUACACAACAUAGUUAUAUAUGUUUUCGUUCCAUCAAAUUGAGUAUGUUUGUGUGAUUACAUCUACUAUGCCAAGAAUAUCGAUNUUUAAAAUUCGCUAAAACCUUCACUCUCAUGGUCUUGUCCUUCCUCCUAUGAUAUUUGAAUGUGUUGCAUUUCUUCACAUUUGUAAGCACAUUAUAAGUUAGAAACUAGGUCUUUGAGGUAUGUCUAUCUAUGUUAUUUUUUGAUAGGUGUCUAUCUAUGUUAUUCACCUACACAACAUAGUUAUAUAUGUUUUCGUUCCAUCAAAUUGAGUAUGUUUGUGUGAUUACAUCUACUAUGCCAAGAAUAUCGAUGAAUCUGACUAUUGCAAUUGCUCAUAUUAACUUUUUUUUAGCUUCUAAGGUCUACUUAUUAGUUUAAGAUCCCUCUCAUUAACUGGAAUUUAAAAAUUAGAUCUGUUUCGAUCAUUAUGGGAAUGGCUAAGGCUAUGAACAUAUAAUUUGAACUUCAAGUUGAUUCCAUGAUUAUAAGGUCAUUCCAUACCAGACCAAACUGGAAUAAGGUUAUUUACAUUCUCAAGGGGUCAUUUGGGCAUACAUAAAUAGAUAUUAUAUUUACAUAUAGAUCCUUAUAUCGUUCCAUUCCAUUAAAGAUUAGGAAUAAGUGUAAUCAUACCAGCUUUUUCCAUAUCUCUUGUUAUUUGUGACCCUAUUCACUUCUUCGAGCUUCUAUUGAAUCAAAAUAUAGGAAAAACAUUCUCUAGAUAACUCAUAUCGAAGCAAUUGGAUGACCAACUCUGGCUGAUCAAUAAAAACACCCACCCUUGUCAUAUACUCCAUACAUUACACUAGAUAGAUAUCAUAUUCAUGAAAUAGGAUUUACUUUCCAGAUGCCUUGGUAGUGAAAUGGUAGACAAGCCAGUCUCAAAAUCUUGUGCUAAAAAUCGUGGAUGUUCUUCAAGGUAUAAUAUUGAGACUGCUUUUCUACUGGAAAAUAUGCUACUAUGAAACACAACUUUCUUUGUAAACAUGUUUUAUUUCUACCAAAUAUCAAAUUAGUGUAAAUGAUCAAUCUCAGGCUGUUCUACCUAAUUAAUCUCUUAUAAUCAGUUCUCAACUAUCUUACUAGUCCUCUCUAAUCUUUUAUCAGUCCUUCAAGUUCUCACUCAAAAUAGACAAUAUUUUCCAAUCUCUAAAGAUAGAUAGAGAGGCUCAAACGAGUUGUAGGUAUAUUUAUAGAUCUUCGGAGAGCCAUACCCCAAAAACUAGCUGUUGAAGUUGGAGACCUCAAAUCUAUAUAAACAACAGACCGAAAACACAUAUUUUCAAUGUGAGAUCCAAAUCUCAUAACUUGCAAUGAAAACCAUGACACACCACCGAGAUCCCGCAUCCAUUUCAAACUGGCUCUGCACUAGCCCAAGACUAGUCCCAGACGAACACUGCUAUGGUUGGAUGGUGCCACUCAAUUGCAGAAAGACAUGGUGCCUGCUCUAAUACCAUUGUUAUAAAUCAUGGGAGAGUCAUACCUCAAAAACUAGUGGUUAAAUUUGGAGAGCUCAAGUCUAUAUAUAAACCACUCUCCGAAAGCCCAUACUUUCAAGGUGGGAUCCAAGUCCCAUAAUUUGCAAUAGGAACCAUGAUAGUAUAAUCUAAACAAAGUAAAUAAGGACGGGAAAACUUCUCGUCGCAUUGCCAAACUACUAACAUGGACUUAGGGAUUCAAAGAAACACAAGUAAUCUUGAUUUUAUUUUACCUUCUUAUUCUUAUAUUUAUUGUCGUGUACUCAUCAUCCAAUAAUUUGUUUGUCUCCUAUCAUUGAUUUCUCAAGCCUUUUAUCAGUAAUCUAUCUCACGUGGAUGUUCCUAAAUGUACUCAAUAAACUUAAGAUCCAAAGUGCGGAGAAGCAAUUCCUGAAAAGCUGAACGUUUUACGCAAAAUCAAUACCCAAGAAUAUGUGAAACUAACACCGCAAAAGAAAACAGUUGGAUGUAAAUGGGAUUUCACAGAAGCGGCAUGCUGACAAACGAUGAAUAAAUGCUAAUGGAUUCACUCUGGCCAAUGAAAUAGACUACCAGAAGAUAAUUGUGCCAAUACAAAGAUGGAUUUUAUGCUGGUAAUAUUGCCCUCAGCAACUAACCUAGAGUAAUAUUUGCAUCAACUGGAUGUGAAGAAUACAUAUCUCCAUGAAGUAGAAAUAUUUGCAGAUGUCCUCAAAGUUCUUAGGUAAUUUAUGGGACAACGGUGUUCAGAUUGAAACUAUUUCUCUAUAAUUUAAAGCAAUCUCCAUUAAUUUGAAGAGUUUACAAAAUUUGUUCAUAAGUCGAAUACGCACAAACCACAAAGCAAAGGUUACAAUACACUAUUCCUCAAACAACUCAAAAUUGUAAAGCUACCAUUCUAAGUGUAAAUUGAUGAUAUUAUUAUGGACAAGGAUCUGAAGAAAUUUGAAACAUCAUCUUGCAUGUAAAUAUGAGUAUAAAGAUCUACAGUGCCUAAGGUAUUUCUUAUGUAUUGAAGUUGUUACAUCUCAAAUAGGAAUCUGUGUCUCAAGAGAACAAUAUGAAUCUUUUGAAAGAUGCAGUUAUAUUGGGUCGCAAGCUAGCUAGAACUCCCAAGGAUAUGAACUAUGAACUUGGGACAGCAUUAGAAACGGAGAUAAUGACAGAUAUCAAAAUCUUAUCACCAAGAUUAUUAUUGUGUCACAACAAAGGAGACAUUGCCUUAGCAAACUGUAAUUUGUUACUUUAUGCACUCUACUCAUACAGGGCCAAAAAAAUAAUAAUAAUAAUAAAUAAAUUAAGACCUUGCGUUGCUUAAAAUGCUUUGUAGAUUUUGUUUUUUCUCAAAAAAUAAUCGCAUGAGCAUGGAAGCAUAUUGUGAUCCAAUCUAGGCUGGCUCCAUCAUAGACAAGUUGCCACACUUUCAUUGGUGAAAAUAUAACAACUUGAAUGAGAAUUCCGACAAUGCUCCACUAAGACCAUAUCUUGAUGCCAUAUAUGGGAUUUUACGAAUAAGUUUAAAAUAACCCAAGAAACCUUAUAGCAUCCUAGGUUACCAAAAAACAGGCCAAUAAGUUUGGACCAGUGACAAUUGACAAAUCCCAAGAGAGAAACUAAUUAAGAAGUGCACACAUACUGGGUUACAUGUGCCUGAACAAGUCAAGGUGUAAGCCUUGAUAAAUAGCACUCAAAGCAUAAGCUUUGAAGCUCUUGACUAAGGCUUCACAUGAGGCGCAACUCAAGGUGGAAGCCUCUGGAUCUAUUGAAAAUGAUGAGCCAAACCCGUCAUCAU
Molecule: long non-coding RNA, 5814 nt
Filed under: Olea europaea subsp. europaea
Lineage: Eukaryota; Viridiplantae; Streptophyta; Magnoliopsida; Lamiales; Oleaceae
Source: RNAcentral